CCAUGUUCGUCAUCUGUAAUGGCUUAUGAGAUCAACUGCUUCUCUGUGCAUCGUCUUCUCCAAUUAGGCACUCCCUCAUGGCUCCUAGCAAGCUCAAUUCCACUCUGUGGAAAUGGAAAUGUGAGUUUUUGCUGCUCACAGCCAGAUAAUGGAUUUAACGAUCCACUUUCUCUCUUCCAUUCUGAGAAGGCGGUGCAGGAGCUUCUUCAACAGACUCCAGUCCAGGGAACUGAUGACCAACACGUAGAGUUCUCAGAGGCACUAAGAACUGUUGCAAAGGCAUUAAGACGAGCUGCUGAAGGAAAAGCUUCUGCUCAAGCUGAGGCUGCUGAAUGGAAGCGAAGAUAUGAACUGGAGAGGGAACGAAAUCAGCGACUGCAGCUUAAAGAACAUUCACCUGAGGAGCAUAAUGAU
Molecule: unclassified non-coding RNA, 414 nt
Filed under: Hevea brasiliensis (rubber tree)
Lineage: Eukaryota; Viridiplantae; Streptophyta; Magnoliopsida; Malpighiales; Euphorbiaceae
Source: RNAcentral